CCUACGGGAGGCAGCAGUGAGGAAUAUUGGACAAUGGGCGCAAGCCUGAUCCAGCCAUGCCGCGUGCAGGGAGAAGCAUCUAUGGUGUGUAAACUGCUUUUGUACAGGAAGAAACACUCCCUCGUGAGGGAGCUUGACGGUACUGUAAGAAUAAGGAUCGGCUAACUCCGUGCCAGCAGCCGCGGUAAUACGGAGGAUCCAAGCGUUAUCCGGAAUCAUUGGGUUUAAAGGGUCCGUAGGCGGUUUGGUAAGUCAGUGGUGAAAGCCCAUCGCUCAACGGUGGAACGGCCAUUGAUACUGCUAGACUUGAAUUAUUGUGAAGUAACUAGAAUAUGUAGUGUAGCGGUGAAAUGCUUAGAGAUUACAUGGAAUACCAAUUGCGAAGGCAGGUUACUAACAAUAUAUUGACGCUGAUGGACGAAAGCGUGGGGAGCGAACAGGAUUAGAUACCCUGGUAGUCCACGCCGUAAACGAUGGAUACUAGCUGUUGGGAGUAAUCUCAGUGGCUAAGCGAAAGUGAUAAGUAUCCACCUGGGGAGUACGUUGCAAGAAUUGAAACUUCAAAGAGUAGUUAGGACGNGNGAGAGCGACGAGACGACGACGGAGGAGGAGG
This 613-nucleotide ribosomal RNA is filed under the name uncultured bacterium. RNAcentral describes it as "bacterial SSU rRNA". It matches the Rfam family "Bacterial small subunit ribosomal RNA", at positions 338 to 956 of the family's 1533-position model. The record is from RNAcentral.